GACGAACGCUGGUGGCGUGCUUAACACAUGCAAGUCGAACGGGAUUUAGUAAACAGCCGCCUCGGUGGAAGAUUACUAAUGAGAGUGGCGAACGGGUGAGUAACGCUUGAGCAACCUGCCUAUGACAGUGGGAUAGCCUCGGGAAACCGGGAUUAAUACCGCAUAAAAUCGUAGAAACACAUGUUUUAACGGUCACAGAUUUAUCGGUCAUAGAUGGGCUCGCGUCUGAUUAGCUAGUUGGUGAGAUAACAGCCCACCAAGGCGACGAUCAGUAGCCGGUCUGAGAGGAUGAACGGCCACAUUGGAACUGAGACACGGUCCAAACUCCUACGGGAGGCAGCAGUGGGGAAUAUUGCACAAUGGGGGAAACCCUGAUGCAGCGACGCCGCGUGAACGAAGAAGGUAUUCGUAUCGUAAAGUUCUGUCCUAUGGGAAGAUAAUGACAGUACCAUAGAAGAAAGCUCCGGCUAAAUACGUG
RNAcentral lists this ribosomal RNA (478 nucleotides) under uncultured bacterium. Its description in RNAcentral is "partial 16S ribosomal RNA". It matches the Rfam family "Bacterial small subunit ribosomal RNA", at positions 28 to 507 of the family's 1533-position model. The record is from RNAcentral.